Molecule: ribosomal RNA, 777 nt
Filed under: uncultured Neocallimastigales
Lineage: Eukaryota; Fungi; Neocallimastigomycota; Neocallimastigomycetes; Neocallimastigales
Description: partial large subunit ribosomal RNA
Rfam family: Eukaryotic large subunit ribosomal RNA
Source: RNAcentral
UACACGCUGUGACUAGCAUAUCAAUAAGCGGAGGAAAAGAAACUAACAAGGAUUCCCCUAGUAACGGCGAGUGAAGCGGGAAGAGCUCAAAUUUGAAAUCUUAAAGGGUUUCCCUUUACGAAUUGUAGUUUAAAGAAGUGUUUUCUGUUGAGGUUUUGGUAAAAGUUCUUUGGAAUAGGACAUCAUAGAGGGUGAGAAUCCCGUAUUUGACCUUUACUUUCAACUUUGUGAUACACUUUCAAAGAGUCGGAUUGUUUGGGAAUGCAGUCCAAAAUGGGUGGUAAAUCUCAUCUAAAGCUAAAUAUUGGCGAGAGACCGAUAGCGAACAAGUACCGUGAGGGAAAGAUGAAAAGAACUUUGAAAAGAGAGUUAAACAGUACGUGAAAUUGUCAAAAGGGAAGCGUUUGACACCAGUGUUGUUUUUUCUGAAAAUCAAUUAAAGAACUGUUUAUGCUAAGCUGUUUAGACUUUAUCAGCUAACUGUUUAGUUUUGAACUUUUCUUUAAUGCACUUUUUCAGGUUAACAAGUCAACAUCAAUUUCUUUUUGCUGUAAAAAAGCUUGAGGAAGGUGGCUUGAGAUUCGUCUUAAGUGUUUAUAGCCUCUUGCCUAUGCAGUCGGAGAGAUUGAGGUCUGCAGCGUAGAUCCUUCGGGGCUAAAUGCAUUUGUGCUAAGUUAUAGCAUUUUAUAGACAACUUGUUGACUAUGAUUUGUCUUGUAGCUUACUCGCUUAUGUUAUUUUACCUACGCUUAGGAUGUUGAUAUGCAUGACUGAUAU